Molecule: ribosomal RNA, 274 nt
Filed under: uncultured bacterium
Lineage: Bacteria
Description: partial 16S ribosomal RNA
Rfam family: Bacterial small subunit ribosomal RNA
Source: RNAcentral
AUACGGAGGGUGCAAGCGUUAAUCGGAAUUACUGGGCGUAAAGCGUACGUAGGCGGCAAGUUAAGUUAGAUGUGAAAGCCCCGGGCUCAACCUGGGAACUGCAUUUAAAACUGGCUUGCUAGAGUUGAGUAGAGGGGAGUGGAAUUUCAGGUGUAGCGGUGAAAUGCGUAGAGAUCUGAAGGAACACCAGCGGCGAAGGCGACUCCCUGGACUCGAACUGACGCUGAGGUACGAAAGCGUGGGUAGCAAACGGGAUUAGAUACCCUAGUAGUCC